GACGAACCGUGCAAACGUUGUUCGGAUUCACUGGGCUUAAAGGGCGCGUAGGCGGGCCAUCAAGUCAGGGGUGAAAUCUCUCGGCUCAACCGGAAAAGUGCCUUUGAUACUGGCGGUCUCGAGGGAGGUAGGGGCAUGCGGAACUUCCGGUGGAGCGGUGAAAUGCGUAGAUAUCGGAAGGAACGCCGGUGGCGAAAGCGGCGUGCUGGGCCUCUUCUGACGCUGAGGCGCGAAAGCUAGGGGAGCAAACGGG
This 253-nucleotide ribosomal RNA is filed under the name uncultured bacterium. RNAcentral's name for it is "partial 16S ribosomal RNA". It matches the Rfam family "Bacterial small subunit ribosomal RNA", at positions 524 to 776 of the family's 1533-position model. The record is from RNAcentral.